GACGAACGCUGGCGGCGUGCUUAACACAUGCAAGUCGAACGGAAAGGCCCUGCUUGCAGGGUGCUCGAGUGGCGAACGGGUGAGUAACACGUGGGUGAUCUGCCCCUUACUUUGGGAUAAGCCUGGGAAACUGGGUCUAAUACUGGAUAGGACCAUGCUGUAGGUGGUGUGGUGGAAAGAUUAGUUUCGGUAAGGGAUGAGCUCGCGGCCUAUCAGCUUGUUGGUGGGGUAAUGGCCUACCAAGGCGUCGACGGGUAGCCGGCCUGAGAGGGUGGACGGCCAGAUUGGGACUGGGAUACGGCCCAGACGCCUACGGGAGGCAGCAGUGGGGAAUAUUGCACAAUGGGCGCAAGCCUGAUGCAGCGACGCCGCGUGGGGGAUGACGGCCUUCGGGUUGUAAACUCCUUUCAGCCAUGACGAAGCCCUUGUGGUGACGGUAGUGGUAGAAGAAGCACCGGCUAACUACGUG
RNAcentral lists this ribosomal RNA (469 nucleotides) under uncultured bacterium. RNAcentral describes it as "partial 16S ribosomal RNA". It matches the Rfam family "Bacterial small subunit ribosomal RNA", at positions 28 to 507 of the family's 1533-position model. The record is from RNAcentral.